RNAcentral lists this transfer RNA (86 nucleotides) under Victivallis vadensis. RNAcentral describes it as "tRNA-Leu". It matches the Rfam family "tRNA". Rfam says of the family: Transfer RNA (tRNA) molecules are approximately 80 nucleotides in length. Lineage: Bacteria; Pseudomonadati; Lentisphaerota; Lentisphaeria; Victivallales; Victivallaceae. RNAcentral also lists the same sequence under 1 other name. The record is from RNAcentral.
GCCGUCGUGGCGGAAUGGCAGACGCGCUAGGUUCAGGUCCUAGUUCUUUCACCGGAGUGAGGGUUCAACUCCCUCCGACGGCACCA